GACUGGGGGAAUUGAUUGGUGCUUGCAUCAUGAUUUACAUUUGAGUGAGUGGCGAACUGGUGAGUAACACGUGGGAAACCUGCCCAGAAGCGGGGGAUAACACCUGGAAACAGAUGCUAAUACCGCAUAACAACUUGGACCGCAUGGUCCGAGCUUGAAAGAUGGCUUCGGCUAUCACUUUUGGAUGGUCCCGCGGCGUAUUAGCUAGAUGGUGGGGUAACGGCUCACCAUGGCAAUGAUACGUAGCCGACCUGAGAGGGUAAUCGGCCACAUUGGGACUGAGACACGGCCCAAACUCCUACGGGAGGCAGCAGUAGGGAAUCUUCCACAAUGGACGAAAGUCUGAUGGAGCAACGCCGCGUGAGUGAAGAAGGGUUUCGGCUCGUAAAACUCUGUUGUUAAAGAAGAACAUAUCUGAGAGUAACUGUUCAGGUAUUGACGGUAUUUAACCAGAAAGCCACGGCUAACUACGUGCCAGCAGCCGCGGUAAUACGUAGGUGGCAAGCGUUGUCCGGAUUUAUUGGGCGUAAAGCGAGCGCAGGCGGUUUUUUAAGUCUGAUGUGAAAGCCUUCGGCUCAACCGAAGAAGUGCAUCGGAAACUGGGAAACUUGAGUGCAGAAGAGGACAGUGGAACUCCAUGUGUAGCGGUGAAAUGCGUAGAUAUAUGGAAGAACACCAGUGGCGAAGGCGGCUGUCUGGUCUGUAACUGACGCUGAGGCUCGAAAGUAUGGGUAGCAAACAGGAUUAGAUACCCUGGUAGUCCAUACCGUAAACGAUGAAUGCUAAGUGUUGGAGGGUUUCCGCCCUUCAGUGCUGCAGCUAACGCAUUAAGCAUUUCCGCCCUGGGGGAGUACGGCCGCCAAGGGCUGAAACUCAGAGGAAAUUGGACGGGGGCCGCACAAGCCGGUGGGAGCAUGUGGCUUUUAAGUUCGGAAGGCCUAUAACCGCCGAAAGA
RNAcentral lists this ribosomal RNA (955 nucleotides) under Lactiplantibacillus plantarum. RNAcentral's name for it is "bacterial SSU rRNA". It matches the Rfam family "Bacterial small subunit ribosomal RNA", at positions 65 to 984 of the family's 1533-position model. The record is from RNAcentral. Lineage: Bacteria; Bacillati; Bacillota; Bacilli; Lactobacillales; Lactobacillaceae.